RNAcentral lists this ribosomal RNA (233 nucleotides) under uncultured bacterium. RNAcentral's name for it is "partial 16S ribosomal RNA". It matches the Rfam family "Bacterial small subunit ribosomal RNA", at positions 524 to 755 of the family's 1533-position model. The record is from RNAcentral.
UACGUAGGGUGCAAGCGUUAUCCGGAAUUAUUGGGCGUAAAGAGCUCGUAGGCGGUUUGUCGCGUCUGCUGUGAAAACUGGGGGCUCAACCCCCAGCCUGCAGUGGGUACGGGCAGACUAGAGCGCGGUAGGGGAGAUUGGAACUCCUGGUGUAGCGGUGGAAUGCGCAGAUAUCAGGAAGAACACCGAUGGCGAAGGCAGAUCUCUGGGCCGUAACUGACGCUGGAGGAGCG